GCGGGCGUAGCUCAGCGGUAGAGCGACACGUUGCCAACGUGUAGGUCGAGGGUUCAAGCCCCUUCGCCCGCU
This 72-nucleotide transfer RNA is filed under the name Phycisphaerales bacterium. RNAcentral describes it as "tRNA-Gly". It matches the Rfam family "tRNA". Rfam says of the family: Transfer RNA (tRNA) molecules are approximately 80 nucleotides in length. Their secondary structure includes four short double-helical elements and three loops (D, anti-codon, and T loops). The record is from RNAcentral. Lineage: Bacteria; Pseudomonadati; Planctomycetota; Phycisphaerae; Phycisphaerales.